This 444-nucleotide ribosomal RNA is filed under the name uncultured bacterium. RNAcentral describes it as "partial 16S ribosomal RNA". It matches the Rfam family "Bacterial small subunit ribosomal RNA", at positions 354 to 796 of the family's 1533-position model. The record is from RNAcentral.
GUAGGGAAUAUUGGGCAAUGGUCGGAAGACUGACCCAGCCAUGCCGCGUGCAGGAAGACGGCCCUCUGGGUUGUAAACUGCUUUUAUCUGGGAAGAAAAAGGCCAUGCGUGGCAAAUUGCCGGUACCAGAUGAAUAAGCACCGGCUAACUCCGUGCCAGCAGCCGCGGUAAUACGGAGGGUGCGAGCGUUGUCCGGAUUUAUUGGGUUUAAAGGGUGCGUAGGCGGCUGAUUAAGUCAGCGGUGAAAGACUUCGGCUUAACCGGAGCAGUGCCGUUGAUACUGGUUGGCUUGAGCGUCGGAGGGGUACAUGGAAUUGAUGGUGUAGCGGUGAAAUGCAUAGAUACCAUCAGGAACACCGAUAGCGAAGGCAUUGUACUGGCCGACAACUGACGCUGAUGCACGAAAGUGUGGGGAUCGAACAGGAUUAGAAACCCUUGUAGUCC